GCUGACGAGUGGCGGACGGGUGAGUAAUGUCUGGGAAACUGCCUGAUGGAGGGGGAUAACUACUGGAAACGGUAGCUAAUACCGCAUAACGUCGCAAGACCAAAGAGGGGGACCCUCGGGCCUCUUGCCAUCGGAUGUGCCCAGAUGGGAUUAGCUAGUAGGUGGGGUAACGGCUCACCUAGGCGACGAUCCCUAGCUGGUCUGAGAGGAUGACCAGCCACACUGGAACUGAGACACGGUCC
This 242-nucleotide ribosomal RNA is filed under the name Escherichia coli. RNAcentral describes it as "partial 16S ribosomal RNA". It matches the Rfam family "Bacterial small subunit ribosomal RNA", at positions 87 to 332 of the family's 1533-position model. The record is from RNAcentral. Lineage: Bacteria; Pseudomonadati; Pseudomonadota; Gammaproteobacteria; Enterobacterales; Enterobacteriaceae.